This 240-nucleotide ribosomal RNA is filed under the name uncultured bacterium. RNAcentral describes it as "partial 16S ribosomal RNA". It matches the Rfam family "Bacterial small subunit ribosomal RNA", at positions 524 to 763 of the family's 1533-position model. The record is from RNAcentral.
UACAUAGGGAGCAAGCGUUAUCCGGAAUUAUUGGGUGUAAAGGGUGCGUAGACGGGAAAUUAAGUUAGUUGUGAAAUCCCUUGGCUUAACUGAGGAACUGCAACUAAAACUGAUUUUCUUGAGUACUGGAGAGGAAAGUGGAAUUCCUAGUGUAGCGGUGAAAUGCGUAGAUAUUAGGAGGAACACCAGUGGCGAAGGCGACUUUCUGGACAGUAACUGACGUUGAGGCACGAAAGUGUG